RNAcentral lists this ribosomal RNA (966 nucleotides) under uncultured eukaryote. RNAcentral describes it as "SSU rRNA". It matches the Rfam family "Eukaryotic small subunit ribosomal RNA", at positions 56 to 1047 of the family's 1831-position model. The record is from RNAcentral.
CCCUCCGCCGUAAGUACAAAGCCUCAUUUCCGUGGAAGGCGCGAAUGGCUCAUUAAAUCCACCUAAUAUACUGGAUAGUAUACAGUUACUUGGAUAACUGCGGUAAUUCUGGAGCUAAUACAUGCGUCCGAGCCCCGAACUUACGUGAGGGGCGCUUUUAUUAGAUCAAAACCAAACGGCUUCGGCCGUCAUCUGGUGAUUCUGAAUAACUUUGGGCUGAUCGCACGGCUUCACGCCGGCGACGUAUCCUUCUAAGGUGUGCCCUAUCAACUGUCGACUGUGGCAUAGACGCCCACAGUGGUUUUGACGGGUAACGGGGAAUCAGGGUUCGAUUCCGGAGAGGGAGCCUGAGAGACGGCUACCACUUCUAAGGAAGGCAGCAGGCACGCAAAUUACCCACUGGUCGAAGACCGAGGUAGUGACGAAAAAUAACGAUACCGGACUCAUCCGAGGCCCGGUAAUCGGAAUGAGUACACUUUAAAUCCUUUAACGAGGAACAAUUGGAGGGCAAGUCUGGUGCCAGCAGCCGCGCUAAUUCCAGCUCCAAUAGCGUAUAUUAAAGUUGUUGCGGUUAAAAAGCUCGUAGUUGGAUUUCGGCGACCAGGGGGCGGUUCGGUAUUUGCCGCUACUGCCCCAUUUGGUCGUGUUUUUUGGCGGAGGCUGGCGGGUGCUCUUAAUCGGGUGUCCGUCCGCGCCGUCAGGUUUACUUUGAAAAAUUAGAGUGCUCCAAGCAGGCUUUACACGCUUGAAUAUUUGUGCAUGUAUAUGGAAUAGGACGUCGUUUCUAUUUUGUGUUUUCGGAAUCGACGUAUGAUUAACAGGACAGUCGGGGCAUUAGUAUCAGACGACGAGGUGAAAUUCUGACGUCUGAGACUACUACUGCGAAGCAUUGCCAGAUGUUUCAUAUCAGACGAAGUAAGUUCGAAGGCGAUCAGAUCCGCCUAGUUCUACAUAACGAUGCAGCUA